UUGAAGGCAGAGGUGACGCGCGUGUGACUUUUGGACCGAGGCUUUCAGGAGCAACAGUGAUACCUGCAUCUUCUCUCUGUCAACUGAGUAUGGACAUCAAAAACAUGAGACUCAGUUGGAGACAGAGGUGACUCGUGUGUGACUUUUGGACUGAGGCUUUCAGAAGCAGCAGUAAUAUCUGUACCGUCUCUCUGUCAUCUGAAUACCGGCACCAUAAACAUAAGCUGAGUGCAGCUUGGAGAUGGGCUGAUGCUCAUGCAGCUGAAAGCUGAUCGAUCCAUUCUGAAGCGCUUCAUGACCCCAUCCGCACACUGAGAGCCUGGCCUGGGUCAGAAGAGGUGCUGGUGAGGCCUGGGCUUCAGAGA
This is a long non-coding RNA of Mus musculus (house mouse), 365 nucleotides long. RefSeq annotates it as predicted gene, 34644. NCBI's taxonomy places the organism in Eukaryota, Metazoa, Chordata, Mammalia, Rodentia, Muridae. The transcript is spliced from 3 exons. The record is from RefSeq and is a predicted model, not a curated record.